GUUUCAUAUGAUGUCUUAACAGAAAGUUUACUGUACCGUCUCGUCCUCAACGGCACCUUCUGGACGAGUUUCUUCCUCUCCUUCUACAUCUGUCAAGACUUCUUCCUCCAUAUCAGACAUCCUGUUAUCUUUGGAGAGAGUGACCUGGUUGGUCUCCAUCCAGCGGGUGGCCUCCUGUAUGACAUUAAACUCGACGAAGGCGAAUCCUCGGCUCUGACCUGGACACCGCCCAGCGCCAUGGUGAAUUCUCCUUGUCCAGUUUCUCCUCCUGAGAGAAAAGGUCGAGGCACUGCCUCAGCGUCACCUCCCCUGAUGAGCUCUUCUUGGGGAUGGGCAGCGACAGAUCACAGAACACAUCAAAGGUGUUGGAGUAGUGAGAGCACACAGAGCAAUGCAGUGAGCUCCGUAGCUGGCCUGAGAACAGAUCUUGCUUCUUCCACAUGGCUGCUGCCUCUUCUGAAAUCCUGGGAAGAAGAAAAGAGAAGGAUGAAAUUUGAUAAAUUGUAAAACUUUAAGGACAUCAUGUGAAAAUAAUUCUAAAAAUCAGGGGCUGAGAAUCAUCUCAUAGGGAUCCUAACAUAGAUGAGAAUUGAAGUCCUCUAGUUUAAGAUUCAUUAACAUUCACACAGCAAUUUUGAGUGAGGAAAAGAGACUGAAACUCCCUUUCUAGGUAUGACAUUUUUUUCUGAGGCUGUUUGGUUGAUGUGAAAAAUGGAGAAAAAGUGCUCUUUUAAGGUUGUUUCACUCAUGCAAGAAUAUUUCCUGCAAACCUACAUCAAGAUUUCCUGACUUGUUUGUUCACAUUUGCUUCAGAGCGGGAAAUUUUACUGCAUUUUCCCCAUCAGACAAGGGGAAAAUCUGUGUGAAAAACUCAGCUGCAGGUAAAUAAGGGAAGAUUUUCAAGAUUUUUGUACGAGUGUGAAUGGAGGCUUUAGUGAUAGUGUGCAUAGACGUACUGUGAAAAUGAUCUGCUUGAUCAUAAAAUCUUGUUGGACAUUAUUUUAUCAUGAGCCACAUUUCAUGAAAUAAACACCUCUGUUUAAUAAACUGUAAGUGGUUUAGAAGUAUACAGCCUACAAAAUGAUUGAAAACACAUGACUACACGCAUAGCAGCCAGCUCACAUGUUCAUGCAUGUGAGGAGCCUUUAACCAGUAAUCAGCUGCACCCACAUAGUAAGCCACAUUUAAAAAGACUUAACGUGCUGCUUUAAUUUGCACUGAAGAAAAGCCGAAAAUGGACUGAACAGUCAGAAUGUUUCUGCCUGUCCACUUUGAUUCAAUAAAAAUGUUCAUAAAUCA
Long non-coding RNA from Cheilinus undulatus (humphead wrasse), 1299 nucleotides. RefSeq lists it as uncharacterized. Lineage: Eukaryota; Metazoa; Chordata; Actinopteri; Labriformes; Labridae. The record is from RefSeq and is a predicted model, not a curated record. The transcript has 4 exons.